ACGAGGCUGGGCUCCGACAUCCUCAAACCCUGAGGCCCCCGCCUUCAGAGGCAACGUUCUCCUGCGUGGCUGGAGUUUGCUGAUGCGAAAGUGAAGAAAUCCAAGGUGAGAGCAAGUUGGCUUCUGUUACCCGGAACUCAAAAGUAUUACAGUCCUUUGCAAGUCUCAAAGAGCUGCCCCUGAAGGGCUCCCAUCCAUGGCUGUCUCCACUAAGAACGUCUUCUACUGUUACUGCACUCGGAUCCCUGUCCUUUAGGAACUAUUUUGGAAGAAUUUGGCACCUGGCGCUUGUAAGACUUGAGAACAGAGGACACCUUAGGCAACACAAUUCACACGUCACUUUUGCAGAAGCAAAAUCUUUGGCCUAAUUUCUCAAAAUAACAUCAUUUUUAUGGGUGGUUAAAUUUCUCGCGUGCCAGUUGCUGAGCAGUUUCAGGUAAACCUUGGAAGUUUGCAGGGAUGGUCCUCCUUCAGGCACUGUCCACAUUUGAAGGAAUGACGUGAGGCCUGGCGGAGGCCUGUCUGGGGCUUUCACUCACUAACAACUAUUGAAAUUACGCAAAGACAGGUGACUCCAUGUUUUGCCAUUCACAGAAUGCUUUCACUCACCGUGCCUCGUUUGAUCCUCACAACAGUCCAGUGGGAGAGAUGGGUAGCACCCUGUACCCCCAUUUUACAGACUUCAGAGGUGUGGAGUGAUCCAACCUAGGGAAACAGCCCCAGAUUCUGAGCCCCUGAAGCUGCCAUACCGUGAAGAAUCUCAGGCCGAACUCCAGAGUGAGAGAGGCCACAUGGAGGGAGGGCCAGCAAACAAGAAACCAGCCUGGACAUUCCUGCUCCAAGCAGCUCCUCACUGAACACAGCUGCCUACACAAUAAGGAGAAUCACCGGUGAGCCCGGGAAACCCACAGUCAUGGGGUGUUGUUGUAAGCCGCUACAUUUGGGGCGGUUGGUUACACAGAAGUUGAUGCCUAAAACAGAGACCAAUUUUGUGGGGAAAAUCAUUUAGAGUGAUGGUCAGGGAAGGUGUCAUGAGAAGGUGUUUGUUGGAACUGAAUGAAAAGGGACCAGCCGUGAGACUCCCUGGUGGCUGAGCAUUCCAGGCGGAAGAAAUAACAAGUGUGAGGCCUGAGGCAGGGAUUAGCUUGGUGUGCUUGAAAAACAAUUCAAAGCCUGAUUUCAGGGAAGGUAAUCAGAGAAUUUGAGUCAGAGAGUGAGGGAGGGGCUAGAUCCUGGAGGGGCUUGAAAGCCACAGUAAGGAGUCAGAUGAACUAUCAAGCCAGAGGAAAAUCCCUGGAGGUUUUUAAGCAAAGAAUGAUAUAAAUGGAUUUACAUUUUAAAAAUAUCAUUCUGGUUUCUGUGCAUGCUGUGUAGACAAUAGACUGGGGCAGCAAGGGGAAACUCCUGCUAGCACUCUGCAGAGAGAACACCAAAGCCUGUGCUAGCUCAAAAAAGGAGCAGUAUUGAGGAUACCAUAAAAUCCACCCAUUUUAAAUGAACAAGUCAAUGGGUUUUUGUAAAUUUAUAUAGUCAUGCAACCCUCCCCACAACAGAAUUUUAGCAUACUCGCAUCAACCCUAAAAGUUUAUUAUCUAAUGCUCCUUUUCAGUCAAACUUCAUUUCCACCCC
Equus caballus (horse) is the source of this 1629-nucleotide long non-coding RNA. NCBI's taxonomy places the organism in Eukaryota, Metazoa, Chordata, Mammalia, Perissodactyla, Equidae. The record is from Ensembl.